GGAAGCCGGAAGUGGGCAGGGUUUGCACGGAGGCGGAGCUUUAUUGGCAAACCUGAUUGGCUUUUUGAGAAUCCUGAUCUGUUCCCCAGGCUGGAGUGCAGUGAAUGAUCUCGGCUCAUUGCAACCUCCGCCUCCCAGGAUCAAGAGUUUCCGGUAUCUCAGCUUUCCGAGUAGCUGGGAUUAUAGACGUGCACCACCAUGCCUAGCUAAUUUUUGUAUUUUUAGUAGAGGCAGAGUUUCACCAUGUUGGCCAGGCUGGUCUCAAACUCCUGGCCUCAGGUGAUCUGCCCACUUCGGCCUCCCAAAGUGCUGGGAUUACAGGCGUGAGCCACCGCACCUGGCCCUCAUUCUCUUAGCAGUGUAUUUUGAAGAGAAGUUUUAACUUUUAAUAAAGUUUAAUUUACUUUUUUAUGGAUUACA
Long non-coding RNA from Gorilla gorilla gorilla (western lowland gorilla), 420 nucleotides. RefSeq lists it as uncharacterized. The record is from RefSeq and is a predicted model, not a curated record. The transcript has 2 exons. Lineage: Eukaryota; Metazoa; Chordata; Mammalia; Primates; Hominidae.